Molecule: ribosomal RNA, 255 nt
Filed under: uncultured bacterium
Lineage: Bacteria
Description: partial 16S ribosomal RNA
Rfam family: Bacterial small subunit ribosomal RNA
Source: RNAcentral
UACGUGAGGGUGCGAGCGUUGUCCGGAAUUACUGGGCGUAAAGGGCGCGUAGGCGGGAUGGCAAGUCGGUCGUGAAAUCCCGUCGGCUCAACCGAGGAACGUCGAUCGAUACUGCUGUUCUUGAGGAUUGCAGAGGAGACUGGAAUUCCCGGUGUAGCGGUGAAAUGUGUAGAGAUCGGGAGGAACACCGGUGGCGAAGGCGGCUGACUGGUCCGGUUCUGACGCUGAGGCGCGAAAGCGUGGGGAGCAAACAGG